AGACUUUGAUUCUGGCUCGGAACGAACGCUGGCGGCAGGCCUAACACAUGCAAGUCGAGCGCGCCCUUCGGGGUGAGCGGCGGACGGGUGAGUAACGCGUGGGAACGUGCCCUCUUCUGCGGAAUAGCCACUGGAAACGGUGAGUAAUACCGCAUACGCCCUUUUGGGGAAAGAUUUAUCGGAGGAGGAUCGGCCCGCGUUGGAUUAGGUAGUUGGUGGGGUAAUGGCCUACCAAGCCGACGAUCCAUAGCUGGUUUUAGAGGAUGAUCAGCCACACUGGGACUGAGACACGGCCCAGACUCCUACGGGAGGCAGCAGUGGGGAAUCUUAGACAAUGGGCGCAAGCCUGAUCUAGCCAUGCCGCGUGAGUGACGAAGGCCCUAGGGUCGUAAAGCUCUUUCGCCUGUGAUGAUAAUGACAGUAGCAGGUAAAGAAACCCCGGCUAACUCCGUGCCAGCAGCCGCGGUAAUACGGAGGGGGUUAGCGUUGUUCGGAAUUACUGGGCGUAAAGCGCGCGUACGGCGGAUUGGAAAGUUGGGGGUGAAAUCCCGGGGCUCAACCCCGGAACUGCCUCCAAAACUUCCAGUCUGGAGUUCGAGAGAGGUGAGUGGAAUUCCGAGUGUAGAGGUGAAAUUCGUAGAUAUUCGGAGGAACACCAGUGGCGAAGGCGGCUCACUGGCUUCGAUACCUGACGCUGAGGUGCGAACA
RNAcentral lists this ribosomal RNA (708 nucleotides) under uncultured bacterium. RNAcentral's name for it is "bacterial SSU rRNA". It matches the Rfam family "Bacterial small subunit ribosomal RNA", at positions 8 to 759 of the family's 1533-position model. The record is from RNAcentral.